GUGCCAGCAGCCGCGGUAAUACGGAGGAUGCAAGCGUUAUCCGGAAUGAUUGGGCGUAAAGCGUCUGUAGGUGGCUGCUCAAGUCUGCUGUCAAAGACCGGGGCUUAACCCUGGAAAGGCAGUGGAAACUGAGUAGCUAGAGUGCGGUAGGGGUAGAGGGAAUUCCCAGUGUAGCGGUGAAAUGCGUAGAUCUUGGGAAGAACACCAGUGGCGAAAGCGCUCUACUGGACCGCAACUGACACUGAUGGACGAAAGCUAGGGGAGCGAAUGGGAUUAGAUACCCCAGUAGUCC
Molecule: ribosomal RNA, 292 nt
Filed under: uncultured bacterium
Lineage: Bacteria
Description: partial 16S ribosomal RNA
Rfam family: Bacterial small subunit ribosomal RNA
Source: RNAcentral